Molecule: ribosomal RNA, 253 nt
Filed under: uncultured bacterium
Lineage: Bacteria
Description: partial 16S ribosomal RNA
Rfam family: Bacterial small subunit ribosomal RNA
Source: RNAcentral
UACGAAGGGGGCUAGCGUUGCUCGGAAUCACUGGGCGUAAAGCGCACGUAGGCGGAUCUUUAAGUCAGGGGUGAAAUCCUGGAGCUCAACUCCAGAACUGCCUUUGAUACUGGGGAUCUCGAGUCCGGAAGAGGUGAGUGGAACUCCGAGUGUAGAGGUGAAAUUCGUAGAUAUUCGGAAGAACACCAGUGGCGAAGGCGGCUCACUGGCCCGGUACUGACGCUUAAGAGCGAAAGCGUGGGGAGCAAACAGG